GCCGGCAUAGCUCAGUAGGUAGAGCAGCUGAUUUGUAAUCAGAAGGUCGUGGGUUCGAUUCCUAUUGCCGGCACCA
Molecule: transfer RNA, 76 nt
Filed under: Burkholderiales bacterium
Lineage: Bacteria; Pseudomonadati; Pseudomonadota; Betaproteobacteria; Burkholderiales
Description: tRNA-Thr
Rfam family: tRNA
About the family: Transfer RNA (tRNA) molecules are approximately 80 nucleotides in length. Their secondary structure includes four short double-helical elements and three loops (D, anti-codon, and T loops).
Source: RNAcentral